CAUUAGCUAGUUGGUGAGGUAACGGCUCACCAAGGCAACGAUGCGUAGCCGACCUGAGAGGGUGAUCGGCCACAGUGGGACUGAGACACGGCCCAGACUCCUACGGGAGGCAGCAGUAGGGAAUCUUCCGCAAUGGACGAAAGUCUGACGGAGCAACGCCGCGUGAGUGAUGAAGGUUUUCGGAUCGUAAAACUCUGUUGUUAGGGAAGAACAAGUACCGUUCGAAUAGGGCGGUACCUUGACGGUACCUAACCAGAAAGCCACGGCUAACUACGUGCCAGCAGCCGCGGUAAUACGUAGGUGGCAAGCGUUGUCCGGAAUUAUUGGGCGUAAAGCGCGCGCAGGCGGUUUCUUAAGUCUGAUGUGAAAGCCCCCGGCUCAACCGGGGAGGGUCAUUGGAAACUGGGGAACUUGAGUGCAGAAGAGGAGAGUGGAAUUCCACGUGUAGCGGUGAAAUGCGUAGAGAUGUGGAGGAACACCAGUGGCGAAGGCGACUCUCUGGUCUGUAACUGACGCUGAGGCGCGAAAGCGUGGGGAGCGAACAGGAUUAGAUACCCUGGUAGUCCACGCCGUAAACGAUGAGUGCUAAGUGUUAGAGGGUUUCCGCCC
Molecule: ribosomal RNA, 609 nt
Filed under: Bacillus licheniformis
Lineage: Bacteria; Bacillati; Bacillota; Bacilli; Caryophanales; Bacillaceae
Description: bacterial SSU rRNA
Rfam family: Bacterial small subunit ribosomal RNA
Source: RNAcentral